Molecule: long non-coding RNA, 220 nt
Filed under: Lathyrus oleraceus (garden pea)
Lineage: Eukaryota; Viridiplantae; Streptophyta; Magnoliopsida; Fabales; Fabaceae
Description: Pisum sativum (pea) long non-coding RNA (PSAT_LNC016919)
Source: RNAcentral
UUUUUGCCAUUUUCAUUUCUCUUAUCCAUCUUCUCCUUCUUCUUUUUCUACUUCUUUUCUUUUUGAUCAAUGAGUUGAAGGUUGAUAAGUUAGCAUUGAUUAGGGAGAUUUAACCUUCCUUGAUUCAAAUCUAAUUCAUCUUGAUCAAUUGAUCAAGUGAAUGGCUUUGCAUUAGGGAUAGGUUGUCUUCUAAAUCAUGCCAAAGGCUUAAACCAAUACA